RNAcentral lists this ribosomal RNA (362 nucleotides) under Escherichia coli. Its description in RNAcentral is "bacterial LSU rRNA". It matches the Rfam family "Bacterial large subunit ribosomal RNA", at positions 1 to 390 of the family's 2925-position model. The record is from RNAcentral. Lineage: Bacteria; Pseudomonadati; Pseudomonadota; Gammaproteobacteria; Enterobacterales; Enterobacteriaceae.
GGGUUGUGAGGUUAAGCGACUAAGCGUACACGGUGGAUGCCCUGGCAGUCAGAGGCGAUGAAGGACGUGCUAAUCUGCGAUAAGCGUCGGUAAGGUGAUAUGAACCGUUAUAACCGGCGAUUUCCGAAUGGGGAAACCCAGUGUGUUUCGACACACUAUCAUUAACUGAAUCCAUAGGUUAAUGAGGCGAACCGGGGGAACUGAAACAUCUAAGUACCCCGAGGAAAAGAAAUCAACCGAGAUUCCCCCAGUAGCGGCGAGCGAACGGGGAGCAGCCCAGAGCCUGAAUCAGUGUGUGUGUUAGUGGAAGCGUCUGGAAAGGCGCGCGAUACAGGGUGACAGCCCCGUACACAAAAAUGCAC